RNAcentral lists this ribosomal RNA (450 nucleotides) under uncultured bacterium. Its description in RNAcentral is "partial 16S ribosomal RNA". It matches the Rfam family "Bacterial small subunit ribosomal RNA", at positions 339 to 795 of the family's 1533-position model. The record is from RNAcentral.
CUACGGGAGGCUGCAGUAAGGAAUAUUGGUCAAUGGACGAAAGUCUGAACCAGCCAUGCCGCGUGGAGGAUGAAGGUCCUCUGGAUUGUAAACUUCUUUUAUAUGGGACGAAAAAAGGCUUUACUAAGUCGUCUGACGGUACCAUAUGAAUAAGCACCGGCUAACUCCGUGCCAGCAGCCGCGGUAAUACGGAGGGUGCAAGCGUUAUCCGGAUUCACUGGGUUUGAAGGGUGCUUAGUAGGUCAGUUAUGAAAUCCCCGAGCUUAACUUGGGAACUGCCAUUGAUACUAUCAGUCUUGAAUACCGUGGAGGUCAGCGGAAUAUGUCAUGUAGCGGUGAAAUGCUUAGAUAUGACAUAGAACACCAAUUGCGAAGGCAGCUGGCUACCCGAAUAUUGACACUGAGGCACGAAAGCGUGGGGAUCAAACAGGAUUAGAUACCCGAGUAGUC